This 445-nucleotide long non-coding RNA is filed under the name Zostera marina. RNAcentral describes it as "long non-coding RNA (ZMAR_LNC005196)". Lineage: Eukaryota; Viridiplantae; Streptophyta; Magnoliopsida; Alismatales; Zosteraceae. The record is from RNAcentral.
GCACAUUGGACUUGAUGGAGGAUCAUUUGCUGAGUCGAGCACUGCUUCUACCAGAUUUUCAAUUGAAAUGAAUGCAAGAUCUAUCGACAAAGACAAAGAAAAAGAAAAAGGAAAAGAAAAAAUGAACGAUCGAAUGGAAAAGCUCAUGGAGGUAUGUGUAUGAAAGUCAAUAAAAUUUUAAAGUAAUACAUAAAUAUAAAUGAAUUUUAAAUGUUUUACAGGAUAAUCAAAUUUUAAAAAGGAAAUAUGAUGAAAUGUUUGAUAUGUUUGAAGACCUGAAGAAAACAGUUCUAUCUCAAUCAAAUACAACUCCACAACCUUCAGAUCGUGGAUCGUUGCAAGAUAGAAGUAUUAAUGCAGCUCAGAGUGAUCAAAGAUUUCAGACUCCUCCAUCGAAAUAGGUCUUUCAUUUUAUUUUUGUCGAAUGUUAGUUUUUUUGAAUGUU